Long non-coding RNA from Alligator mississippiensis (American alligator), 3225 nucleotides. RefSeq lists it as uncharacterized. NCBI's taxonomy places the organism in Eukaryota, Metazoa, Chordata, Crocodylia, Alligatoridae. The transcript is spliced from 6 exons. The record is from RefSeq and is a predicted model, not a curated record.
GAGAGGUUGGGCUCAGAAGUUAAAAUCUCCCAGGAAGGGAAGCUGGGGGAGGACAGAGGACCCCAGUGCUGAAGCAGAAGCACAGGGGCUGUGUCACUUCUCCAGGUCUGAAGGAAGACCUGAGGUUUGGCUUCUGUUUCCUUUGGACCUGUACUUGGUGGUUGCUAUGGGGAGAAGACUUGCUUAUUUCCUGGAAUGAGAAGACUUUUCUGCGGUGAGAAGCUUUCCAGGAAGUGAAGCGAAAAAGUGGCAGCUUACGUCGGGCUGAAACGGCGAUGACAUGACUGCAGGUAACUCGGUGCUUGCUGCAGGAUAAAGAAGACGCAUGGAAGAGUAGGGAUUGUGAAGAGUGGAAUAAGAGGUGUACUAAGAGGCCAUCUUGGGUCUGAAGGUGAAACACAACUGUGAGAAAAUGCCUCCUGAAGGGUCCUCAACAUAUACGUACAUCAAGCAAGUUCAGCAGAACUGGCAGCAACAGCCUGUGCUUCUAGCUUCACCCAGUUUCCUGCCUUGCCCCUGACAUGGUGGGAUUGCUGCUAGAGACGAACACAAAUUCAGAGGAGGCUAUUCUUGGAAGGGAUUGAAAUGGAGCCGCAACCUCGGAAUUUGUAGAGCGCUUGGAAAUCCCAGAGAUAUUAACAGGAGCAAGAACAGUAUGAUCUCUUUGAAUAUCAUGAUGGAAGUGGCUUAUUUUUCUGAUAACUGAAAGCUUUUGAACAGACAGUCAUUUCUCUGGGUUUCUGUUCUUACAAGGAUUUUUACUGACACUUAUUUAAACUAACCCUUCCUCCCUUCCUCCCCCCAAGUAGCUUAUUGGUAGUACGAAGUUUUUAAUACUUGAUAUUCAAGCUGCCUGGAUGGUUUAAUUUAUUUUCCCUGUCUUGAUCAUUCUUAUAACAUUUGAUCCAAAGCCAACAAUGGGAAAUUUCAUUUUCACACUCCAACAUAAUGUAUACAGCAAAACUAUGAGCAAAAUGUAGGAAGACUAAAAGUUGAUUUUAGUAAGAUGCGUACUAAGUAUUGCAUAUGAAGUAACAGGAGAACAAACUAAUAUAUGAGACACCCUUCAUCUUGAAAGUAUGAAGAUUAUAAAGCAGAAUUAGGUGUGUGAUGCUCCCAGAAGAAGAAAAUAAAUAAUAAACAGACUAAUUUUAUGGUGAAAUGGAAACAAGAGACAGAUGGCUACAUCAAAGGCUGCCUGCAGCAAAGGUUUCUAGCUAAUGUUUACAAACACCCCUUUUAGCCAGGUGUGAUCUAUAGCAAGGAUACCAUCAUGAGACCUUCUGGGCUAUGCCUAAUUGAAUCUGUACUGAUAAAUGCAGGUAAGUAUUUAAUGUUAACCCUAUAAAUACAAGAAAAAAAAGCAAGCUUAUUUUCUUUUGGGCCUGGACGAGAUAAAGUUUUCCUAUCCUGAGAACAUAUUCAAGCCUUCUAAAAAUUUUUCCCAUUCCAUAUGGGACAAAUAUCCAGGUUUGGGGUUUUUUUCUUGCAAACGAUUGUAAGAAAGAGAGAGCUUAUGCAAUAUCCUCUUCCCCUGCCCAAGAAUACCUAAAAGGCUGGUAAUUAUUCUAUCCACGUGGGAAAUGGGAGAACACAGGUCCCUGUGCCUGAUUCUGAUCCUGAAAUCGAACCUUCGGUGAUUAUAUAUACUUUAUGGUUCCCCUUUUCCAAGUCUUAUUCCACUCAGUCUAGUGGAGGCCCUGCUCUCAAACCUUGUGGCUUCCAAAGGUGUGCCAGCAUAUACGGUUUGCUUCUACUUGGUAAGAGCAACUGCUCCAAGCCUAUUAGAAGCUGCCUGUGUUGCUGAUGGUCUUACUGUAUCACCACAUUUAGGACAAACUUGAGUUUUAUAUUGGGAAAAGUGGUUUGGGAGGCAGCGCUUGUUGUAUUGGGUAGAACUUGCUGUAUUGAUUAAAUGAUUGGGAAUUAAAGAUGCAUCUACAUGAUAUAUUUACUGCAUCCUCAGGUAUGCUGUGCUGCUUUGGGAGUGUGGGAUGUGCUGCCUCCUAAACCAGAAACAAUGUAGUUGUAUCCAUGUGGCAUUUCAGAUUGGCCAGUUAUCAUUGGUUAGAUCCAAUUAACACACCCAUGGCUGUAAAGGGGUAUAUUAAAAUUAGGAGUAAAGAAAAGAGAGUGGGGAAAAAGCAGGAGGAGUAGAAUUAAGUGUAUUUUUGAGUGCAAGUAGGAAGGACAAGGCAACAAUUUUAUAAUUUUAUAGUAGGCAAAAGAAAGGAAGAAGAGUGGGAUCAUCAAUAGAGAGAAAUGGAUGGAUUUGGGGGAUAAAAAGAAGGAUACAGUUAGCUCAAUGCUCCUGAGUCACCAAAGCACUUAAGUAUGUACUUAAACCUCACUGACUGACGGGGACUUGAGGGGAUAAAGCUAAUCAUGCACUUAAGUGCUCUGGUGACUCAGGGCUGUAGGAGGGAAAAAGAAGAAUCUUUCCAUAGAUAACGGGAAAGAGACCACAGAAUUUGCUGUUACCAUAUUCCAGGCCACUAUCAAGACAUUUGUUCUUAGGAGUGAAAGUUUUGCUUGCCAUUCAUCAUUGCAAAAGGAACUUGUUUUGCAAGGUACAGUCAUAGCAAACUACAAUAAGCAAAAAACAAACCUGAAUAGUUCUGUAAAGAAAAAUUCUGAAAAAUUAUUACGUUUCUGAUACUGGGAAAAUCUUGCAGGACACAUCAUUUUUGCAGUUUUACCUUGGAAAUUGUACUUUACUUUUAUUUAUUUAUUUUGUACUGUGCUACUUUAUCAAGUGUUCCUCAGGUCCUUUUAAUAACGUGUCAGGCAGGGUCUCCGAGGUUGAUGACAUUUAGCAAUACCAUACAUUCAACUUUAAAAAUACAUUUCAAUUACAAACCCUACAUUCAUCAUGACCUGACAGUUUUAAUAUACUAUGUACAUUAGUUAUAUACCCAAUAGAUUUACUCCCUUCCAGAUAUGUUUUGUAUUAAUUUUUCUCCAGAGUUUCAUAAUUCUCCAAGUCAAACUAGAUUUGUUUUACCCUAAGUACCUGAAAAAUUGGUUUAUUUUUUAUACAUGUGAAAAGUUGAAGGCAUCUGUUUGAAAAUAUACACCUUCAGAGCCAAAACUUGAUAGCAGUGUUACUCCUGACACCACUGGUGCACCCAUAACUUUGUACACUCCUACAUGUGUACAAACCCUUUGUCAGCAGAUUUCUCCAGUUUUAUCCAAGUGGUAUGUAAAUGUGUUCUCCUUCAAGUU